GUAGGGGUGCGAGCGUUAUCCGGGAAUCAUUGGGCGUAAAGAGCUCGUAGGCGGUUCAGCAAGUCGGCUGUGAAAUUCCGAGGGCUCAACCUCGGAACUGCAGUCGAUACUGCUGUGACUCGAGUCCGGUAGAGGAGAAUGGAAUUCCCGGUGUAGCGGUGAAAUGCGCAGAUAUCGGGAGGAACACCAGUAGCGAAGGCGGUUCUCUGGGCCGGCACUGACGCUGAGGAGCGAAAGCGUGGGUAGCAAACAGGAUUAGAUACCCUGGUAGUCCACGCCGUAAACGUUGGAUACUAGGUGUGGGGUUCCGACCAACGGUCCCCGUGCCGAAGCUAACGCAUUAAGUAUCCCGCCUGGGGAGUACGGCCGCAAAGGCUAA
This 379-nucleotide ribosomal RNA is filed under the name uncultured organism. RNAcentral's name for it is "partial 16S ribosomal RNA". It matches the Rfam family "Bacterial small subunit ribosomal RNA", at positions 526 to 897 of the family's 1533-position model. The record is from RNAcentral.